AGAGUUUGAUCAUGGCUCAGGAUUAACGCUGGCGGCGUGCUUAACACAUGCAAGUCGUACGAGAACUCUUUAGCUUGCUAAAGAUAGUAAAGUGGCGCACGGGUGAGUAACGCGUGGGUAAUCUACCUCUGAAUUUGGGAUAACUCCGCGAAAGCGGGGCUAAUACCGGAUAAUAUUUCAGGAUCUUCGGGUCUUGAAAUCAAAAGUGGCCUCUACAUGUAAGCUACUGUUUGGAGAUGAGCCCGCGUACCAUUAGCUUGUUGGUAGGGUAAUGGCCUACCAAGGCUACGAUGGUUAGCUGGUCUGAGAGGAUGAUCAGCCACACUGGAACUGACACACGGUCCAGACUCCUACGGGAGGCAGC
This 364-nucleotide ribosomal RNA is filed under the name uncultured bacterium. Its description in RNAcentral is "bacterial SSU rRNA". It matches the Rfam family "Bacterial small subunit ribosomal RNA", at positions 8 to 352 of the family's 1533-position model. The record is from RNAcentral.